GGUAGCCUAGUGGUUAGAGCAGGUAGUCUAGUGGUUAGAGCAGGUAGACUAGUGGUUAGAGACAGGUAGCCUAGUGGUUAGAGCAGGUAGCCUAGUGGUUAGAGGCAGGUAGCCUAGUGGUUAGAGACAGGUAGCCUAGAGGUUAGAGACAGGUAGCCUAGUGGUUAGAGACAGGUAACCUAGUGGUUAGAGCAGGUAGUCUAGUGGUUAGAGCAGGUAGCCUAGUGGUUAGAGACAGGUAGCCUAGUGGUUAGAGCAGGUAGUCUAGUGGUUAGAGCAGGUAGACUAGUGGUUAGAGA
Molecule: long non-coding RNA, 299 nt
Organism: Oncorhynchus tshawytscha (Chinook salmon)
Lineage: Eukaryota; Metazoa; Chordata; Actinopteri; Salmoniformes; Salmonidae
Source: Ensembl